AUACGGAGGGUGCAAGCGUUAUCCGGAUUUAUUGGGUUUAAAGGGUGCGUAGGCGGGACUGUAAGUCAGGGGUGAAAUACUGCAGCUUAACUGUAGCAUUGCCUUUGAAACUGCCGUUCUUGAGUACAGUUGAGGUAGGCGGAAUGUGGUGUGUAGCGGUGAAAUGCAUAGAUAUACCACAGAACGACGAUUGCGAAGGCAGCUUACUAAGCUGUUACUUACGCUGAGGCACGAAAGCGUGGGGAUCAAACAGGAUUAGAUACCCUGGUAGUCCACGCUGUAAACGAUGAUUACUGGUUGUUAGCGAUAUAUAGCUAGUGACUGAGCGAAAGCAUUAAGUAAUCCACCUGGGGAGUACGUCGGCAACGAUGAAACUCAAAGGAAUUGACGGGG
This 393-nucleotide ribosomal RNA is filed under the name uncultured bacterium. RNAcentral's name for it is "partial 16S ribosomal RNA". It matches the Rfam family "Bacterial small subunit ribosomal RNA", at positions 523 to 918 of the family's 1533-position model. The record is from RNAcentral.